UUGGGUUAACUGGGCAGUUGUCUUUGAUGGGACCUUACAUGGUUGCAGUCAGCCAGUCGCUGAGACUGAUGUCUUGAGAGAUUUGACCGUGCUGCUGGAGUGGCUGAGCCUCUCCUCUUCCUGAGGUCUCUGGUUACUAUUACUCAAGAUAUGCCCUAAGUGCAGGAGCAGAAGUUUCUAGGCCUUCUUAAGGUGGAUACCCAGAACAGGCACAGUGUCACUUCUGCUUCAUUCUGCUGGUUGAAGCAAGUUGCAGGCUCUGCGUGGGGUCCUCGAGACUGCCAUCAGGACUGCAGCUUCUCUAGAAGAAAAGAACUUAGAAAUACUAUCAUACUCACAGUUAAGAUUUACUCCAGUGAAAGGGCACAGGUUAAAAUCAGCAAAGGAAACAAGAGCAUAGAGCAGAGUCCAGGAGAAACCAAGUGCAAGCGUCCGGCUGCGCUUUGCCAGUGGAGUUUUACAGAUAACAAUGAAUUGUCUCAGCACUGGUGUGUGAUAACACACACAAAGUGUGGCCAACCAGGGAGCUCACCUGAGCCUUGUCCAAGGUUUUUAUUAAGGGUCAGUCUCAUAAGCGUGGAAUGCCCACGUGAUUGACCAGAGUUACUCGGUCUCCCUAUCCUCCAGAGGUCAAACUGAUACAGAUGGGUUCAGAGUCCAAGAUGAACAAAAACAGGUGUUUACCAUCAAUCACACAGUUAACAUGAACUAUCUGGUUAUGACUUAAGGCACUGGAUAUACACAGGGACUCUUAUCAGACAGAAUAUGGCAAGGUCUUAGAGAUUACCUCCCAGGAGCUAGUCAGAGGUCAGUCCUCUCCUUAAAAAGUACAGAAUCUGACCAUCCCAAGCCUGCUGAGUUGUUCUUUUAUUAUGUAUGGGCCUAACUCCAAUUUAGUCUAGGAAGGACUACACAAGGGCAUGGAUUCUAGGAUGAAUGAUUGUGAGAGCCAUCUUUGAAGAGUAGGUACUGUAUCAUUAUUUUCCCCCCAUGGCUCCAACAGAGACAACAGAGUAUAUAGGGAAUCUGGAUUUCUUCAUGGAAUAGUUUAUUUUAACUGAAACUGAAUAUAUACGUAUAUAUACACUUUAAUAUAAUUAUAUAUAUUUAUAUGUACAUAAAAUGAAAUUAUAUAACGAAAUGGGCUAAAGUUGUUGUCCAUGUGAAAAUGUGAGUCCCAUCUAUGCCUGAUAUAUUAAUCCUUUCAAUUUAAGAAAUGAUUGAACACCUAUUAUGUGCCCAAUGUCAGGCUGGGAUUUGGAACCACAGUAACUCCUGGUUCCUAUACCUGAGGAGUUUACUGACUGAUGAGGACACUGACAAUGUACAAGUAAGUUACCAAUUCCAGGGAUGAGGGGGAGUCCAAGGCUUUGUUAGCUUCACAUAGGCUUUCUGGCUUUAACAUUUUCAGUUUCUUGAGUGUUAAAUGCAUAUCUUACAAGUAAUAAGCUCAGAGACUUCCCUGGUAGUCCAGAGGUUAAGACUCUCUGCUUCCAAUUCAGGGGGCAUGGGUUUGAUCCCUGGUUGGGGUACUCAGAUCCCCAAUGCCAUGGCAUUGCCAAAAAAUAAAGUUUAAAAGCAAUAAGUUCAAAGCAGUGGCAGAUUUCUUUUUCAAAAUCAAUAGAAUGUGUGUGUGUGUAUAGCUAAAAGAAAAAUGUUUACAGGCCAUAUUUUUUCGUUCAAAAUAAAAAUGAUUGUAAAUAAGUCCCUGGCAAAAUAUUGAUUACAAGCUAUACUGAAUGGAAGAAUCUAAAAGAAAACUAAGAAGCAACAUUUUAAUUAAUGCUUAAUUAAUUAAUUCUUGGAAGUAUCUGAGAAAUAGCAAUAGGAAAGACUUUUUUAACUUUGUUGAGGUAUUGUUGAUUUAAAAUAUUGUGCUAAUUUCUGCUAUACUGAAAAGUCAUUCAGUUAUACAUAUAUUCUUUUUCAUAUACUUUUCCACUGUUUUACCCGGG
This is a long non-coding RNA of Bos taurus (domestic cattle), 1955 nucleotides long. The record is from Ensembl. Lineage: Eukaryota; Metazoa; Chordata; Mammalia; Artiodactyla; Bovidae.